ACGACCUUACUUGAACAGGAUCUGUUCUACAUGCUCGUCCCACUGCAUCCUUUACCAAUAAGGAGGCAAGCACUUCAGUCUGGUUGAUGCAUUCUGACCUCUAAGCUUAGAGGUUGUCUGACAGACU
Molecule: small nucleolar RNA, 127 nt
Filed under: Triticum aestivum (bread wheat)
Lineage: Eukaryota; Viridiplantae; Streptophyta; Magnoliopsida; Poales; Poaceae
Description: Plant small nucleolar RNA U3
Rfam family: Plant small nucleolar RNA U3
About the family: Small nucleolar RNAs (snoRNAs) are involved in the processing and modification of rRNA in the nucleolus. There are two main classes of snoRNAs: the box C/D class, and the box H/ACA class.
Source: Rfam by way of RNAcentral